Molecule: microRNA, 20 nt
Filed under: Arabidopsis thaliana (thale cress)
Lineage: Eukaryota; Viridiplantae; Streptophyta; Magnoliopsida; Brassicales; Brassicaceae
Description: ath-miR5654-5p
Source: miRBase by way of RNAcentral
AUAAAUCCCAACAUCUUCCA